This 515-nucleotide long non-coding RNA is filed under the name Mytilus galloprovincialis (Mediterranean mussel). The record is from RNAcentral. Lineage: Eukaryota; Metazoa; Mollusca; Bivalvia; Mytilida; Mytilidae.
AUGGAAACGGUGUUACCUAUUUUUCAUACAAUGGCCUCCUGAGAAAAAACACAAAAAUUGCAAUUCUGACAAAUUUAAUUGACAUAAUAUAGUAUAAUAUUUACAAUACAGUGGAAUAUGCUGCUAUUUAUCUUAAACUACUGUAUUUCAAGUUUCUUAUCAUAUAAAAAACUAUUCAUAAAAAUAAUUCUGCAUAAUUCAAAACAGCACUUUAUUUAUACAAAUUUUGGCAUUUUACCAAAUCAAGAAAAUUCCCUUUGGGAGCCUUUUUUGAAUAGAUUUUUUUUACCUUUGCACACUGAUUUGAAAUUAAACUAAUGGUAAUAUACGUAGAAGAUAUAUAGUUGGAUUUAAACCCCCAAAAAAUUGUGGGAAAUUUCAAGACCUUUAUGUACAUAAAUCCUAAAAAAUGACAAAAAAUUGCAAAAUAUGCAUAUUUCCAUGGAAAUGGUAGUUCAUUUCAAAUUGCUUAACAUUGUCUCUUGGCAAAAUAUUUUACUAAACAAUCAACAAAA